CACCGAAAGAGGAGACUUUGUUGCUUACGAAAAUCGAACCAGAUAUCAAAUAUUUAGUCUUGCAGCAUCAACCUCAAGGAUCUCAUUAAUCACUAGUAAAGGUAAUUUCAAUUUACUUUAUUGUUUUCGCAUUAAACUUUAUAAAGUUAAAAACAUUAUAAACAUGCAUUAAGUAGAAAUAAAAAGAUAAAUGUACGUACAUUGAUUUUUUUAAAAACACCCUCCUUUCUAAAAAAUAUUCUGCACUUGCCCGAAAACUGGUGGGUGGUAAGGACAUUUUUUCAACCAAAAAGAUGCAUUAGUGGGCGGUAGGUAGAAAAAGGUUGACUACCACUGGGCUAGACAGACAUCAUUAAAUUCACAUUUCUUUAAUUUAUAUGCUUUGCAUACAUUUUAUACUGCCAUGUAGUGUCAAUGCACUAUUGAAUAAAAAAUUGAAAAUCACCUAUACCAUGUUAUAACCUUUUUUUUUCAAUCCAGUUCAUUCCUGGCAUAUCUAUGUCGCACACUGGUUUUGGGAGGACAAACAGAAAUAUUGUUUGUAUUUUUCUACCUUACACAUGUACAAUGAGAGAAACACAUUAUGAAGCUCUCAAUUAACCGUACAGCUGUAAAAAAGUUACAAAUAAAUUGACAGACAAAGAACAUUGCUUCAAUUGAAAUGUUCUGAGGGCAAGCCUUGCGUGUUAGGGGUUACAGUGUAAAGUGGUAAUUGGUGCUCCAAUUUUGUAACUCUGAGAUCAGUGAUACCAAUUAUUUUAACAUGAUAUCGUCUCAAAAAGUAAACUUUGGAAAUAUUAGAUCAUUAUAAGCCUCAGUGUAGCUGAGCCUUCUUUUCAGAAAACAUGUUGUAAAAUGCUUUAGGCACACCUACCAUGGAACCCUUACCAUCACAGUCUGCCUUACCCUGCAUUUUGCUUCUGACCUUCCACAUCUGAUCAAAAGCUUGUAUCACAUCUGCUUCGAAUUUCUUCAUGACUGAUUUUAUAGAUGCCAUUAAUCAUCCACUUGAGGUUUAUCCACUUCCCUCUCCCUAUUAUCUCUCUUUAUCUUUCCUACUCCUUUCAGUUACCUCUCGUUAUUACACGUUUUUUUUUUUUCUUCAUUUUUUUUUUCUUUCUUUUUUUCUUUCUGGUCUGUAUUACAAGUGCCACCUGAAAUCGUUAGCCGUUAAUAAGAUCAGCAACAAUAUAGCUUCUAUUACAGAACUGACGCCAAAAGAAAUGUCAUUAUAGCUGCCUUGGUAAAACAAUACAUACAUACUAUAUACUUCAUGCAUAUGUUUGUUGAUCCUUAUAUUAAAGGCGAGGUCACUUCAUCUUUCCACAAUAAGGACAAGUUUAAUUUAAUGGAUCACAGCUGAAAUUAGAACAUAUUAGGAAACUUUAGUGCACGUUAAUCUUUAGGACCACAUUGCUAUUCGUUGGUGGGUUAGAGGAACACAAGCAACAUUUUAUCAUUUUGUACUGAGUGACUCAUGGAAGCAAUUCUGGGGUUCUCCUUUCCAUCCCAUAGACACAGUGACUCAUAUGGGUAUAUGUGGAGGGGGCCUGUUCCUUUUUUCAUGGAUAGAUUGACUCAGGGGAGAUGUGAUUUAGUCACACUCCAUAGCAAAAGGAUGCUGGGACAGUUCAACACAUCACGUCUCAAGUUUAAAAUUAAUUUCACCAUCUGCUCGAAACUUUCAUUCUCUCAUCUCAUGCUGUCCACCACAAGAAAGAACAGUCAUGCACACCCACUGUUUUAUUUCAAGUGUACGUAGAGAUGUUCAAAUAUGUUCUGCAGUGUGUAUGCCUAAAAUCAUUGCUGGCUGCUCUUUGCAUUCCGCAUUUCUCUUCUCCUCUCAAGCCCUGUACUCCUCCAAAUAUAUAUAUGACUUGAAAUAUCCUGGCUGUUUCAAACUAUAUCUGUUCUUCCUUUUUCCUAAAGUAAAAGCCAUUUUCUCAUUAUUUUUCAGGAGUUUUAAAGCAGCUGAAAUCUUGGCUAAUCUCGUGAAGUCUACAGUAUCUGCUAGUUGAUUUACAGUAACCUGUAAAACAAAGUUCAUAUGUUCUCUCUCUUUGUCAUGAAUUUGACAUUUCAGUAAAGUGAUGUAAAUUCAAGCUGUGCAUUUGGGGCAAGCAUACAAUAAAUCCAGAUAUUUGCUAUGCUUGAUUUCUGGUGACAUUGAUUUAUUAAGCAGGAUAAUAUUUAAUGUUAAUUGGUCUCUAUGCGCACAUCUGCUGAGGGACCUCAUGCAGUUAAUUGCAAGCUUUUUAGAACAGACAAAUUGCCUAAAAUUUAUUUCAGUCUCUCUUUCAUGUUAUAAAGUCUGCCCUUGGUAAUUUUUUGACUUGGAGAUUAAUUUCGUCCCAAACUGCAAUUUGUCCAAAUUUGGACCAAUCGGGUGAUCAAAGGAGUUCCUGAACCCUGAGCCAAAAUGUACUAGAACCAUGAACCAAACAAGCCAUGCAAUGGCUAAACAUGUUGGUUAUGAUUCAUGAUUCUGGAUUCCACCUGUGAUAACAAGAAAAAGAGACAAUUGAUGGGACAAAAUUUGAAGUGAGCAAUAAAGGGAAAAAAAAGGAGAAUCAGGAAAAUAAAACCUAUUUUUAUAUAUUAUAUAUUUAAUAAAAACCAUUUUUUAAACUGCUCCUCCUCUUUUUACUUUUAUUGGCUACUUUUUCUCACUUCAUUAGUGAACCAAAUGGUUAAAAAAGGUUCGGUCAGUGUACUGCAAAAUAUAUACAUAAUAUUAUAAAAGUAUAUCUUUUGCAGUACACAGAUUGGCUCAUUUUCGUGCAAUUCUGGCAAGUCUGAUUACUUUUCCUGUUUCAGGUUUUCAUUAAUGAAAUUCUGCCAAGCCCAACCGACAUACGAAAAUGUUUUAUAUCUUCAGAAUAAAAAGAUUGGCCGAACCACAUUUUCUCACCGUGCAUAAAUCGAAGGUGAGGUGGGCAGUUCUGUACAUUUAUUUGGAAUCUUCCACAAUGUCAUAACAUAUUCAUAAAUGUAUGUUCUUUAACCAAACUUCUGGAAUAAAAGGGAAUCAUGACAUGUCACACAUGUCAUGUGUCCAUAAGGGGUUAAAUACUAUUGGGUUUUUUAUGUGUGUCCACAUACACAACUGAUUUUUUUUUUCUAUUCAAAAUUCCUAGACCCAGAAAGUACUCUUGCAUUAGUUUUCCUUCAUGUGCUCUAAAAAUUUGCACAAACUCCUCACUUGCAUUUUUACCUUUAGUUAGUGCCACAUUACCCACCAUGCAGUGCUGGCACAUCGCCAAUUAAAACUGUGCUCAGCAUCCACAGCUAAAGAGGUAAUACAAUCUACAAAAAAUUUAAAUUGUAAAAAGAAUGCUGCACUAGCAUUGUAAGUUCAUAGUUACAUAGUUACAUAGCUGAAAAGAGACUUGCGUCCAUCAAGUUCAGCCUUCCUCAGAAAUGUUGUUGCUGUUGAUCCAAAAGAAGGCAAAAAACCUGGUCUGAAGCACUUCCAAUUUUGCCACAAACUAGGAAAAAAUUCCUUCUUGACCCCAAAAUAGCAGUCAGAUGUCUCCUUGGAUCAAUCAGCUAUUACCCACUAAUUAGAAAUUAUAUCCCUGUAUGUUAUGUUUUUGUAAAUAUUUAUCCAAUUUCAGUUUAAACAUCUGUAUGGACUCUGACAAAACCACCUCUUCAGGCAGAGAAUUCCAUAUACUUAUUGUUCUUACUGUAAAAA
Pelobates cultripes (western spadefoot toad) is the source of this 3697-nucleotide non-coding RNA. The record is from the annotation of a GenBank genome assembly. Lineage: Eukaryota; Metazoa; Chordata; Amphibia; Anura; Pelobatidae.